RNAcentral lists this ribosomal RNA (465 nucleotides) under Vreelandella stevensii. Its description in RNAcentral is "partial 16S ribosomal RNA". It matches the Rfam family "Bacterial small subunit ribosomal RNA", at positions 338 to 795 of the family's 1533-position model. Lineage: Bacteria; Pseudomonadati; Pseudomonadota; Gammaproteobacteria; Oceanospirillales; Halomonadaceae. The record is from RNAcentral.
CCUACGGGAGGCUGCAGUGGGGAAUAUUGGACAAUGGGCGAAAGCCUGAUCCAGCCAUGCCGCGUGUGUGAAGAAGGCCUUCGGGUUGUAAAGCACUUUCAGUGGGGAAGAAAGCCUUGGGGCUAAUACCCUCGAGGAAGGACAUCACCCACAGAAAAAGCACCGGCUAACUCCGUGCCAGCAGCCGCGGUAAUACGGAGGGUGCGAGCGUUAAUCGGAAUUACUGGGCGUAAAGCGCGCGUAGGCGGUCUGAUAAGCCGGUUGUGAAAGCCCCGGGCUCAACCUGGGAACGGCAUCCGGAACUGUCAGGCUAGAGUGCAGGAGAGGAAGGUAGAAUUCCCGGUGUAGCGGUGAAAUGCGUAGAGAUCGGGAGGAAUACCAGUGGCGAAGGCGGCCUUCUGGACUGACACUGACGCUGAGGUGCGAAAGCGUGGGUAGCAAACAGGAUUAGAUACCCUGGUAGUC